RNAcentral lists this ribosomal RNA (207 nucleotides) under uncultured bacterium. Its description in RNAcentral is "partial 16S ribosomal RNA". It matches the Rfam family "Bacterial small subunit ribosomal RNA", at positions 568 to 774 of the family's 1533-position model. The record is from RNAcentral.
CAGUCAGGUGUCCUUGCAAGUGAGAGGUGAAAUCCUUUGACUUAAUCGAAGAAUUGCCUUUCAAACUGCGAGGAUUGAGUAUGAGAGAGGAAAGCGGAACUCUCGGUGUAAGGGUGAAAUCUGUAGAGAUCGAGAGGAACACCAGUAGCGAAGGCGGCUUUCUGGACCAUCACUGACACUGAACUGCGAAAGCUAGGGGAGCAAACA